Long non-coding RNA from Saccostrea echinata, 382 nucleotides. RefSeq lists it as uncharacterized. The transcript has 3 exons. The record is from RefSeq and is a predicted model, not a curated record. Lineage: Eukaryota; Metazoa; Mollusca; Bivalvia; Ostreida; Ostreidae.
CGAUCAUCUAGUUAUCUGCAGAUUACUAAAUCAAAAUGGGAAAACUUCUCGUUGUAUUAACUGUUCUCUGCAUGGUGGCCCUGACGACUGCCUGGUUUCCUUUUGGAAACAAACAAUGCGACUAUCAACGCGUAUGUUAUCAUAAUUCCCAUUGUUACCGAGGCGAAUUUUGUGAAAUGAUGCCCUACUAUCCACAGGGGCAAGGGUACUGCUGCCAUCCCCUUCGUCAUAGACGGUCUUAUUAGGACAAAAAAUGGAAAAAAGCAGAUCACUGGCUAAUGGACACAGCAGCCUGUAGUUUUAAAGAAAAACAGCUUGAAUGAUCGAUGUUCAAGCAAUUUAUAAUUGAAGUAUUUAAAUAAAAUCUUUCAUCUAAUUUUAA